Molecule: ribosomal RNA, 700 nt
Filed under: Caulobacteraceae bacterium
Lineage: Bacteria; Pseudomonadati; Pseudomonadota; Alphaproteobacteria; Caulobacterales; Caulobacteraceae
Description: bacterial SSU rRNA
Rfam family: Bacterial small subunit ribosomal RNA
Source: RNAcentral
GUUAGUGGCGGACGGGUGAGUAACACGUGGGAACGUGCCUUUAGGUUCGGAAUAACUCAGGGAAACUUGUGCUAAUACCGAAUGUGCCCUUCGGGGGAAAGAUUUAUCGCCUUUAGAGCGGCCCGCGUCUGAUUAGCUAGUUGGUGAGGUAAUGGCUCACCAAGGCGACGAUCAGUAGCUGGUCUGAGAGGAUGAUCAGCCACAUUGGGACUGAGACACGGCCCAAACUCCUACGGGAGGCAGCAGUGGGGAAUCUUGCGCAAUGGGCGAAAGCCUGACGCAGCCAUGCCGCGUGAAUGAUGAAGGUCUUAGGAUUGUAAAAUUCUUUCACCGGGGACGAUAAUGACGGUACCCGGAGAAGAAGCCCCGGCUAACUUCGUGCCAGCAGCCGCGGUAAUACGAAGGGGGCUAGCGUUGCUCGGAAUUACUGGGCGUAAAGGGAGCGUAGGCGGACAUUUAAGUCAGGGGUGAAAUCCCGGGGCUCAACCUCGGAAUUGCCUUUGAUACUGGGUGUCUUGAGUAUGAGAGAGGUGUGUGGAACUCCGAGUGUAGAGGUGAAAUUCGUAGAUAUUCGGAAGAACACCAGUGGCGAAGGCGACACACUGGCUCAUUACUGACGCUGAGGCUCGAAAGCGUGGGGAGCAAACAGGAUUAGAUACCCUGGUAGUCCACGCCGUAAACGAUGAUUGCUAGUUGUCGG